GUUGCAUAACUGUGGAAAGAAUACAGGAGUAAACUUCAUCACCGACCAUACAGAUGCCAUUCUGACUCUCUCGCUAGCGUGUGUCUCGUGUUGUUACAUCUGUUUGGUGCUGUGUUGUUGCCGGUGCGCCCGUACAAACCGACGCACUUAAUUGUUCGCAAAGGUGGUGUUGCAUAUUCGCGUGCAAAACAUAAACAAACUGUGAAGCUGAACGAUUACAGCGAAACCUCGAACGUGUGGUGGCCUGCAGGAAACGUGGUUGCCCUUAUGCUCAAGAAUCCGCUUAUGUGUUUUACAGUUGCACAGUUGCUGCUGGGCCAGAUAGAGAACAUGCCGAAGAUGAACUGAAAACAACAGUGACAACAGUGUGCGUGGCGUUGCUAAAGUAAAACCGCUCGAGAACCGCUUCUUCCUUUGUAGAGACGCCGAUCCGACGUCGCACAUCAACCUUUUCGGACAGACCCGGUAGCUAACGUCGUUUGAAUUGGAGUUCCACAGUGAUUACAUUUCACUGUCGUAUGCAGUUUUGUCUCCAUUCGGAACCCAAGACCCCCCAGUCGGUGGAAGCAAUUCGUAUAGGACGCAUCCAAAAUGGUGCAGCUCGAGAUUAACAAGAAACUGCUGCCGAUGAAGGCACACUACUUCCUCUUCAAUGCAGGAACGGCUCCGGUAGUGCCUUUUAUGCCGACACUCGUACGGCAGCUUGGCUUCUCGACGGUGAUCGUCGGAACGAUCUACACGGUCCUGCCGAUCGUGGGCAUGCUGGUGAAGCCACUGUUCGGCAUCAUUGCCGAUCGGUUUCAGCGCCAGAAGCUGCUUUUUUUGAUCUUUCAGAUUCUUACAGCCGUUCCGUUCUUUCUGAUCAUGUUCAUACCGGCCAUCCCUCAGGACUCGACUGUCACAUUCCAUUGCCACAACGGGGCAGCAGAUCUGAAAUACUGUCCAGAAAAUGGCACCACCAUCGACUCGUGCCUGGUGGAAAGUAUCACCACCAAUGAGAACAACGGUUCGCUACUCUGCGACAUGGAAUGUCGCACGGAACCGUGGAUGUGGGACACAGUGUGCAAGUACUGGAAUGUGUCAAAGUACUGCGACGAGAAGAACAUCCCCACCGACCGUAUCCUAAGACUGACGGGUGUUGUACCCAACAACCACAUUAAUCUGGUCGACGAGUGUCUUUUCUUUAUGUUGCGCGAAGGUAAAAUGGAUGACAAUCGGGUGCCGCUCUACUGCCCGUCCAACAUGACCGAUUUCCGGACCAGCUGCCAGGUGCAGUGCAACAAUGAGCAGGUGAUGGGCGCCAUCUCGCAUUCGAAAAUUGCGGACAGCGAAGUGACGGGACUGUACCAGUUCUGGUUGCUGUUCCUGUUUCUGAUCUUCAGCUGGGCCGGUAUGGCUGUCGUCGUGAGCGUGGGCGAUGCGAUCUGCUUCGAGAUGCUUGGAGAUAAGCCCCAUCUGUACGGCAACCAGCGACUGUGGGGUUCGAUUGGCUGGGGUACUGUUUCACUGUUUGCCGGCUUUCUGGUCGACACACUGUCGGAGGGUAAACUUACGAAGGAUUAUACGAUCGUGUUUUACAUGACCGUCGUACUGAUCGGGUUCGACAUGCUAUGCUCAUCAAAACUGCAGCACACUCAAACACGUCUUUCAACUAACAUUCUGAAGGACGUUGGCAAAAUAUUUGUCAAUUUCCGCAUUGUGGUAUUCUUUUGCUGGUGUGUGCUGAUCGGUUUUGGAACGGCACUAAUCUGGAACUUCCUGUUCUGGCACUUGGAAGAUCUUGCAAGCGCACAAGAAGGAUGUGGCCAUUCGACGUGGAUUAAAACCUUGGAAGGUAUCAUCAUGUCGAUUCAAACGUUCGGCGGUGAGCUGCCGUUCUUUUUCCUGUCCGGUUGGAUUCUGAAAAAGAUUGGCCACAUCCAUGCAAUGAGCUUGGUGCUGUUAGGAUUCGGCGUGCGUUUCUUGCUGUACUCUCUCCUUACCGAUCCCUGGUGGGUGAUACCGAUCGAGUUUAUGAACGGUAUCACCUUCGGACUGUUCUAUGCAACGAUGGCAUCCUAUGCCAGCAUCGUGGCACCACCCGGCACAGAGGCCACAAUGCAGGGACUCGUGGGUGCUGUUUUCGAAGGUGUCGGUGUAUCAUUAGGCAGCUUGCUGGCCGGCAACCUAUUCGAACGCAUCGGUGGUAGCUCCACGUUCCGUGCGUUCGGCAUAGCGGCACUGGUACUGUUCGUGCUGCACGUUGCCGUACAGAAGCUAACCGAUCGUUUCGGCAGCCAGGGUAAGCAACAACAAAAAGUGGAUAGCUUAACGGGCGUUAAGCUGAAGGAAAAUGGGACGCAUGGGUCGGGGUUAGGCGGGGACGAUAUCUCGAAUGGACAGCUGGCCAAAACCAAUUCCAUCCUGUCGGAAUCGACCGUUCAGGAGGAGCUGCACGAUGGCGAGGAAAAAACUAAUGGUGGUAGCCACGUAGAUACAAAGACUGCCUCGAAUGGAAACGUUGCACAUCACGUGCCCGAGACGUGUUCGGAAAAGACGUCAAAUGGCAAACCGACUGCAGCUCCCGACGGGCAACUGUACGAAGUGCCAUUGAACUAAUGUAUUUGGUGUUAGCUUUCUGGAAGCUCUACUUGAAAAUAGUAUAAAUUCGGGAUAGAUGCGAGAAUUCUUCGUCAGUAUGGAAUUAUUGCCAUAUUGGGUAGCUAUCCCACACACUGUUAAAACCUCAAAGUAACAAAAGACUAAGCGAACAAAUCCUUACAAAGUAAGACCACAAAACUGGCACAGACUAUUUGCGUUGCGUUGACGAUAAUGUACCAUUUUCAUAAAUUUGCAUUUUUGAUUUUUUUUUUUCGUUUUUGACUCGCAGCGUUCCUUUACUGCAAUGAGUUAUUAGAUUAGUGUAUACAAAUAAAAACAUGCAUAUGUAUUCUUCGUUUACUCUAUACCCUUCGAGUGAGUAGUUCAUUUAAGGCCUGGCCACAUGGCUUAAUUGUUAACGAAAGUGUGCCGACAUACCCUAUGUCUAUGACAUACACAUCAUAAAGAUGCAGAGAAAACAAUAACACUGUUGUUAUCCAAAAAACUCGGAAAAAAUGGCGUGUGACGUACAUACUACCAUAAAAAGUUCAUUCAGCCUCUUUCCUGCGCUUUUUACUACAAUCGAUGCACAGUUUGUGCUUCAUUUCAAUUCCACACUGCAAAGAAACUCGUCCCGGAUACGCACCACCGAAGGAGGCAUUGGAAAAUUUGGA
Molecule: RNA transcript, 3254 nt
Organism: Anopheles moucheti
Lineage: Eukaryota; Metazoa; Arthropoda; Insecta; Diptera; Culicidae
Gene: Sugb
Gene name: major facilitator superfamily domain-containing protein 6
Exons: 7
Source: RefSeq, a predicted model, not a curated record